Molecule: ribosomal RNA, 779 nt
Filed under: uncultured Bacillota bacterium
Lineage: Bacteria; Bacillati; Bacillota
Description: bacterial SSU rRNA
Rfam family: Bacterial small subunit ribosomal RNA
Source: RNAcentral
CCAUGCAAGUCGCACGAGAAAGGGAGCAAUCCCAAGUAAAGUGGCGCACGGGUGAGUAACACGUGGAUCAUCCACCUUCUUGUGGGGAAUAACCUGGGGAAACCCGAGCUAAUACCGCAUAAGCCCGAGAGGGGAAAGCAGCAAUGCGCAGGAAGAGGAGUCCGCGGUCGAUUAGCUAGUUGGUAGGGUAAAAGCCUACCAAGGCUAUGAUCGAUAGCCGGCCUGAGAGGGCACACGGCCACACUGGCACUGAAACACGGGCCAGACUCCUACGGGAGGCAGCAGUGGGGAAUCUUGCACAAUGGGGGAAACCCUGAUGCAGCGACGCCGCGUGGGUGAUGAAGUCCUUCGGGAUGUAAAGCCCUUUCGACGGGAACGAUAAUGACGGUACCCGGAGAAGAAGCUGCGGCUAACUACGUGCCAGCAGCCGCGGUAAUACGUAGGCAGCAAGCGUUGUUCGGAGUUACUGGGCGUAAAGAGUAUGUAGGCGGUUGGGUAAGUUUGGUGUGAAAUCCCCCGGCUUAACUGGGAGGGUGCGCUAAAGACUGCCUGGCUCGAGUGUGGGAGAGGAAAGCGGAAUUCCUGGUGUAGCGGUGAAAUGCGUAGAUAUCAGGAGGAACACCUGCGGUGUAGACGGCUUUCUGGACCAUAACUGACGCUGAGAUACGAAAGCGUGGGUAGCAAACAGGAUUAGAUACCCUGGUAGUCCACGCCCUAAACGAUGCAUACUUGGUGUUGGCCAUUCACUUGGUCAGUGCCGGAGCUAACGCGUUAAGUAU